GAACCAAUGGGAAACCUCUAGAGGGUAUUUAAACCCCAGAAACUCGUGUAACCCAUGCUCUUGAACCACUUGCUCCAGGCAUCUCCCACCCUGUGGAGUGUACUUUCGUUUAAGUUAAAUCUCUGCUUUUGCUGCCUUGUUUUGUCCAAUUCUUUGUUCAAAAAGCCAAGAACCUGGGCAACUACGCUUAACUGGUAACAUAUGUUGGGGAACCAGCCAGGAGAGACCAUCAAGUUUCAGAUGAUCCUGUGACAAGGUUUCCAGCCUGUUCCAAAUGAAGGCAGCACCCCUGGCCAUCAAGAAACUACCCAGUCUCCACUCGAUAGAUAAAGGCAGGAGUUCGGGGAUCCCCAAUAGGUAGGGACUGCACCUCAAGUCAGGGUGACGCAGUUACAGAAGAAAGACCAUCAGUCACUCUGUCUCCCAUAAAGAUUUCUGGGGAUCAUGUCUCUCGGGGGAAAUGAGGCAGGAGAAUAGGGUCUGGAGGCAGGGAACCUAAGUUCGAUGCAUGCUGACUGGAUAUCAGAGGCUACUCCCUUUCAACCCCUCCUUUUUCUGCAUGGCAGUUGCUGCCUGGCAGUUGGAAAUGAAAGUACCUCGGAUUGGUUCCCUCCCGCAACCAAUCAGACUGGUUGCGGGCCACUACUUUAUGUGCAUAGAGUGAACAGAUGGGAAACCCCUGGAGGGUAUUUAAACCCCAGAAAAUCCUGUAGCCCAGGCUCUUGAGCCUCUUGCUCGAGCCCGCUCCCACCCUGUGGAGUGUACUUUCGUUUAAAAUAAAUCUCUGCUUUUGCUGCCUU
RNAcentral lists this long non-coding RNA (800 nucleotides) under Homo sapiens (human). Its description in RNAcentral is "HSALNT0224367". The record is from RNAcentral. Lineage: Eukaryota; Metazoa; Chordata; Mammalia; Primates; Hominidae.